This 301-nucleotide ribosomal RNA is filed under the name uncultured bacterium. RNAcentral's name for it is "partial 16S ribosomal RNA". It matches the Rfam family "Bacterial small subunit ribosomal RNA", at positions 509 to 807 of the family's 1533-position model. The record is from RNAcentral.
CAGUCGCCGCGGGAAUACGUAGGUGGCAAGCGUUGUCCGGAAUUAUUGGGCGUAAAGGGCUCGCAGGCGGUUUCUUAAGUCUGAUGUGAAAGCCCCCGGCUCAACCGGGGAGGGUCAUUGGAAACUGGGAAACUUGAGUGCAGAAGAGGAGAGUGGAAUUCCACGUGUAGCGGUGAAAUGCGUAGAGAUGUGGAGGAACACCAGUGGCGAAGGCGACUCUCUGGUCUGUAACGGACGCUGAGGAGCGAAAGCGUGGGGAGCGAACAGGAUUAGAUACCCCAGUAGUCCCUGUCUCUUAUAC